GUGGCUUUUACGUGAUUUUAAAGAUUCAAUGCUUUGAAUUAUAUACGUGUGAAGCGUAACUUGUGUAUAAGCCUAUAUUGAAUUUAGUUCCCCUCGCUAUCCUGUUCGUCAACUAUGAUGAUGUUUCCUAGGACGUCGGGGUACAAUAUUC
Small nucleolar RNA from Raphanus sativus (radish), 151 nucleotides. RefSeq annotates it as small nucleolar RNA snoR136. NCBI's taxonomy places the organism in Eukaryota, Viridiplantae, Streptophyta, Magnoliopsida, Brassicales, Brassicaceae. The transcript has a single exon. The record is from RefSeq and is a predicted model, not a curated record.